This 269-nucleotide unclassified non-coding RNA is filed under the name plant metagenome. Its description in RNAcentral is "partial contains small subunit ribosomal RNA, internal transcribed spacer 1, and 5.8S ribosomal RNA". The record is from RNAcentral.
UUUCCGUAGGUGAACCUGCGGAAAGAUCAUUAAUGAGUUGUCAUGGGGUUCGAUGCUGGCAGCCAAUUUUUGGAUGCAUGUGCUUGCCCUAACAAUCAUCUUCCAAACACCUGUGCACAUUUUUGAGGGAGUCUUGAGUUGGUUGCCGCUCUUGGGUGAUUUUCUCACAUUCCCUUAAAUCAUUAUACGCUAUUAACAAUGUUGAACGUGCUCUGUGCCGCAAGGCUAUUAAUAUAAUACAACUUUUAACAACGGAUCUCUUGGCUCUC